CCUACGGGGGGCAGCAGUGGGGAAUAUUGGACAAUGGGGGCAACCCUGAUCCAGCCAUGCCGCGUGUGUGAAGAAGUCCCUCGGGUUGUAAAGCACUUUCAGUGAGGAAGAACGCCUGGUGGUUAAUACCCAUCAGGAAAGACAUCACUCACAGAAGAAGCACCGGCUAACUCCGUGCCAGCAGCCGCGGUAAUACGGAGGGUGCGAGCGUUAAUCGGAAUUACUGGGCGUAAAGCGCGCGUAGGUGGCUUGAUAAGCCGGUUGUGAAAGCCCCGGGCUCAACCUGGGAACGGCAUCCGGAACUGUCAAGCUAGAGGGCAGGAGAGGAAGGUAGAAUUCCCGGUGUAGCGGCGAAAUGCGUAGAGAUCGGGAGGAAUACCAGUGGCGAAGGCGGCCUUCUGGACUGACACUGACACUGAGGUGCGAAAGCGUGGGUAGCAAACAGGAUUAGAUACCCGUGUAGUC
This 465-nucleotide ribosomal RNA is filed under the name Vreelandella stevensii. Its description in RNAcentral is "partial 16S ribosomal RNA". It matches the Rfam family "Bacterial small subunit ribosomal RNA", at positions 338 to 795 of the family's 1533-position model. Lineage: Bacteria; Pseudomonadati; Pseudomonadota; Gammaproteobacteria; Oceanospirillales; Halomonadaceae. The record is from RNAcentral.